UACAGAGGUCUCAAGCGUUGUUCGGAUUCAUUGGGCGUAAAGGGUGCGUAGGCGGCGCGGUAAGUCGGGUGUGAAAGCCUUGAGCUUAACUCAAGAAAUGCACUCGAUACUUGGUGACUAGAGGACCGGAGAGGAUAGUGGAAUUCCCAGUGUAGUGGUGAAAUACGUAGAGAUUGGGAAGAACACCAGUGGCGAAGGCGGCUAUCUGGACGGUUUCUGACGCUAAGACGCGAAAGCGUGGGGAGCAAACAGG
Molecule: ribosomal RNA, 253 nt
Filed under: uncultured bacterium
Lineage: Bacteria
Description: partial 16S ribosomal RNA
Rfam family: Bacterial small subunit ribosomal RNA
Source: RNAcentral